RNAcentral lists this ribosomal RNA (449 nucleotides) under uncultured bacterium. Its description in RNAcentral is "partial 16S ribosomal RNA". It matches the Rfam family "Bacterial small subunit ribosomal RNA", at positions 29 to 523 of the family's 1533-position model. The record is from RNAcentral.
AAUGAACGCUGGCGGCAUGCCUAACACAUGCAAGUCGAACGAUGCUUUCGGGCAUAGUGGCGCACGGGUGCGUAACGCGUGGGAAUCUGCCCUUAGGUUCGGAAUAACAGUUGGAAACGACUGCUAAUACCGGAUGAUGACGUAAGUCCAAAGAUUUAUCGCCUGAGGAUGAGCCCGCGUAGGAUUAGGUAGUUGGUGUGGUAAAGGCGCACCAAGCCGACGAUCCUUAGCUGGUCUGAGAGGAUGAUCAGCCACACUGGGACUGAGACACGGCCCAGACUCCUACGGGAGGCAGCAGUGGGGAAUAUUGGACAAUGGGCGAAAGCCUGAUCCAGCAAUGCCGCGUGAGUGAUGAAGGCCUUAGGGUUGUAAAGCUCUUUUACCCGGGAUGAUAAUGACAGUACCGGGAGAAUAAGCUCCGGCUAACUCCGUGCCAGCCGCCGCCGUAA